This is a long non-coding RNA of Branchiostoma floridae (Florida lancelet), 688 nucleotides long. RefSeq lists it as uncharacterized. NCBI's taxonomy places the organism in Eukaryota, Metazoa, Chordata, Leptocardii, Amphioxiformes, Branchiostomatidae. The transcript is spliced from 2 exons. The record is from RefSeq and is a predicted model, not a curated record.
GACAUUCCUAUUUUUAUGUUUCCCGAAGGGAGAACAUAUAGUAUCCUUACAGGUAUUUGCAUAUAACAAAAAAGUCAGGAGAAAUGGAAGUUGUACACGUUUCCAUCUUUUUGAUUGGCUGACAUUCUUACUAUCUUGCUCAGACGUCAGGGCUAAACCUAUCAACGCAAAGGUCACAAAAUGGCAGUCCCCACAGAGCAGCUUUUUGAUUGGGCAGAAGUCUAGCUUGAUACGUCAGGGGUAAACCUAUCAACGCACAGACCAGCUUUUUGAUUGGGCAGAAGUCUAUCUUUGUCAUGGAUACGUCAAAUGUGAACCAAUGAGCUGCUAGGUCACUGCACUGUAGCAGUCACGCGCGCGUCUACGAGUUGGUGUUUUGGUUUGUCGGCUCGCGCGUACGAGGUGUGUUUUGUCGGCUCCACAGCUCCACCAGCUGCACUCGGCUCGGUGUUUUGUCGGCUCGCGCGUACGAGGUGUGUUUUGUCGGCUCCACAGCUCCACCACGCACUGCAAAGCAGGACUAUCAACCAGCCCAGAAAGCCACUUCUGUACAACGACACAGUCCAACAUCACUAACGCAACAAAGCAGCACUACUAGCAGCUGGACUCACCAUGACAAGGACCCUAGCUACAAAAUCAGCCUUUCCAUUUAUUUCCAACAUUCUCAAAUACAUUCUCUGAACUAUAA